CCUUGGCCGUGACCACACAGGACUGUGCGUUAUGACAUCACCUGUUUUCGCUCUUUAGAACAUGAUCUGUAGUCUCAGCUUCUCCUUUUUUAGAGGUCUCUAGUGUACCGGGAUUUGGGAAGGCCUGCAGUCCGCAGAAUGAAUCUGGAGAUGAUGUCAAACAACGGUUUCACUGGUUUGCAUUUCUUUCUUUUCUUCCUUUUCUUUUUAAUUAAAAAACACACGGACACACACACACACACACACACACACACACAGAGCCUGGUUUCCUUAGGGAUUCAGAGUGGUGUUGUAAUGCAAAAUCAGAAAGGUACACUUGGAGGAGCUAGCAAGUUUAGCAUAUCAAAGCUAUUAGACCAAAUUGUGUGGUUAAAAGUGUCAAUCUUAUUUUUUCAACAGCUGCCUCCUCUGUCCCUUUUGGAGACCAACACACAUAAACCAAGUCUACACAAGGAACAAAGGAAGUGGAAAUCUGCCAGUGUCAGGUUGAAAUACAUUAAAAUUGACUGGAAAACCCCUGAAGGGCCUGAGUUAUGCGGUUGGGUAAAUGUGUUGAUCCACUUAACUAGUAAUAGCUAAAGGUCACUUGAUGCUGUUGUAGACAUGUAUAGCCUAGAAUAGCAAUGGUGUGGGGAAGGUGCUUGACAAUCAGAAAAAAACUGUAAAAGCAAGAACAUUAAGGAGGGAAAUUACCAUAGGCUCGUCAAUGCAGAGAACCAAGAAAUCCAGGGAGAAAGUUAGCAAGGCACAGUUUUCCUAAGAACUGAAACACAUAUGUGUCCCUGUUUAGUGGUAAAUUUCUUGGGCUAUAUUCCUGGCUGGUUCUCCCUUGUAAAGCAGAUUUUAUGUGAAUGCAUUUUAAAGGAUAGGAGAUAUUGAAGGCUGAAGUGAAUUUUUGUGCAGAGAUUGAAUUUUCUCAAAUAGUACUUUAGAUUCAAAUUGUUUUCCAUCGUAUUCUUAUAACCGUUCCUUUUACUUAGUAGUUAAAAUCCUUUCACAAUGGUUCUUUAAGCUCUUCAGUAACUAAAUUCCCCAGAAAAGAUGGCCAAGAGAGUGGAGGCUACACAAUUACACCCUCUGACAAAGAUUGCUAAAGGGAGGUUUUAAGGGAAUAGCUUGACCGAUACAUAGAUUCAUGUAUGUGACCAAAUAAUGGUGGUCUCCACCAAACUCCUCCAAACUUUUAUAACAUUAAUUGUCCAUAGGGCCAUUUAUUUGGCAUUUAACCAUGUACUGCAUUGGGACAUUUCUUACAUGGAACCCUUACGUAUGAGUCUAUGUUUCACCCCUGAAAUCUUCAAUCCGGCAACUCCUCAGCACACAACCCCCACACUUUCUUCUAGUCCUCACCUCCCACACUCUCAUCAUACGUGUUCUUUUCUGUUCUCAUGUUAACAUUCGACUUCUGGAUCCUUCCUUGCUCUUCCAUUCCUUACGUGGUCUCCCUUCCUUUUCUAGUCAGCCUGUUAUUAUAAAGGGAAUGCGACUCAGAGGCUAAUUGACUUGUGAAUCCUGGAUCACACUUUUAAGAGGGAAGAAAACAAAAGUCACUUCUUCAGAUUUCGCACAGAACAAGGAGAAACUCCCUUUUGUUGUGUGGUUCUGAAGGACGCGGAGCAGGCCAUGUUACUACAGACAAAGAAAAGAAUGUCUACAGCGAAGGGGACACCUGAGAGGUCGCACGCUUUGUGGGAUCAUGGUAGAAGUUCAAAACAUCAACCUGAGAAAAAUCAGUGAAACUGAGGACUUAAGUCAGAAGUAUGGGUGACGCAAGGAAUUAAAGGGUCUGCGAAUCAAGACA
This is a long non-coding RNA of Neofelis nebulosa (Clouded leopard), 1801 nucleotides long. RefSeq lists it as uncharacterized. The transcript is spliced from 2 exons. NCBI's taxonomy places the organism in Eukaryota, Metazoa, Chordata, Mammalia, Carnivora, Felidae. The record is from RefSeq and is a predicted model, not a curated record.